RNAcentral lists this long non-coding RNA (255 nucleotides) under Capsicum annuum. RNAcentral's name for it is "long non-coding RNA (CANN_LNC017253)". Lineage: Eukaryota; Viridiplantae; Streptophyta; Magnoliopsida; Solanales; Solanaceae. The record is from RNAcentral.
UAUAAAAGAAAAUAAUCACCCGUAUAAGCUCGAGCACACAUAUAUAUGUAUAUACAAUACUUGGCCGUUGGAGCCAUCACGUCUAUUAACAAAACUCCACCUUGACUGUACAUUAGGUCUACAAAGCCUCUAGACAAUACACAGAGUUUAACUAAGGUCGGGACACCCCCCGCCAUAUAACUAACUUCUAUACAAUACCAAAAGUGACUGCAUAUGACACGGAAAGCCCCGAAGCAAACUGGAGCUCACCAAAAG